UUAAUUUAAUUACAUUUUUUUUAAAUAUAGCUUUUAUAUUUUUUGGCAUCGGAUCUGAUAAUUCAUAUUUACCAAUUAUAUAUUAUGUUAAUGAGACAUAUCCAGUCAAUGUUGUUACUUCCACAAGAGACUCUGGAAAUAUUGAUACACAUAAUAAUAAAAAUGACAACAAUAUAAUUAGUAAACAUAUUGUUGAAAGAGAAAGCAAACUAACAACUUUAAAAAAAUUAUUAAAAAAUAAAAAUUAUAUAUUAAUUAGUACUAUGUCUUCUUUAGCUGUAUUAAGUUUAUUUAUUGGUAAUAUUAUAAAUUUAACAGUAGAUUUUUUUCAACAUAAAAAUAUUAUUAUCAUUAUAUUUGUUUAUUGUAUGAUAUGUAUAGUGCCAGGUUUUGUUAUAGCUAAUUUUUUAGACACACAUGAUAAAAAAAUUAAAAGUAAUAAUAAAAUAAAAAAAGAAAAUAAUAAAAUAAAUAAUGAAAAUAAUAAGAUAGAAAACGAAAAUGAUAAAAAUGCUAUUAUCGAUAUGGACGACAACAACAACAGCAUUAAUGACAAAAACGAAUGCAAUAACAUAUUAUACAAAAAUAAUAAUUCGUUAAAUAAUAUUUUACCCACAAGGGACUCAACACAUAACGACAAAACUGAAAACAAAAAAAUCAAAAAUAUUUUUAAAAACGUAAACUUUACAAAACUGAAAGAACAAAUUAGUUCUCCAUUUUAUANNNNNNNNNNACAAAAAAUAAAUAAUAAAUUUAAUUUAAUUACAUUUUUUUUAAAUAUAGCUUUUAUAUUUUUUGGCAUCGGAUCUGAUAAUUCAUAUUUACCAAUUAUAUAUUAUGUUAAUGAGACAUAUCCAGUCAAUGUUGUUACUUCCACAAGAGACUCUGGAAAUAUUGAUACACAUAAUAAUAAAAAUGACAACAAUAUAAUUAGUAAACAUAUUGUUGAAAGAGAAAGCAAACUAACAACUUUAAAAAAAUUAUUAAAAAAUAAAAAUUAUAUAUUAAUUAGUACUAUGUCUUCUUUAGCUGUAUUAAGUUUAUUUAUUGGUAAUAUUAUAAAUUUAACAGUAGAUUUUUUUCAACAUAAAAAUAUUAUUAUCAUUAUAUUUGUUUAUUGUAUGAUAUGUAUAGUGCCAGGUUUUGUUAUAGCUAAUUUUUUAGACACACAUGAUAAAAAAAUUAAAAGUAAUAAUAAAAUAAAAAAAGAAAAUAAUAAAAUAAAUAAUGAAAAUAAUAAGAUAGAAAACGAAAAUGAUAAAAAUGCUAUUAUCGAUAUGGACGACAACAACAACAGCAUUAAUGACAAAAACGAAUGCAAUAACAUAUUAUACAAAAAUAAUAAUUCGUUAAAUAAUAUUUUACCCACAAGGGACUCAACACAUAACGACAAAACUGAAAACAAAAAAAUCAAAAAUAUUUUUAAAAACGUAAACUUUACAAAACUGAAAGAACA
This 1456-nucleotide long non-coding RNA is filed under the name Piliocolobus tephrosceles (Ugandan red Colobus). Its description in RNAcentral is "lncRNA (ENSPTEG00000001524.1)". Lineage: Eukaryota; Metazoa; Chordata; Mammalia; Primates; Cercopithecidae. The record is from RNAcentral.